UGUGCCUGCCCCAUGGGGAUGGAGCCUGC
RNAcentral lists this non-coding RNA (29 nucleotides) under Homo sapiens (human). Lineage: Eukaryota; Metazoa; Chordata; Mammalia; Primates; Hominidae. The record is from RNAcentral.